AGUUAAUGAGCUUGAAAUAAGCAUAUAUUUUGAAAAUAUAAGAUAAAUUUAUAAUAUUUAUUAACUU
RNAcentral lists this transfer RNA (67 nucleotides) under Ochthebius sp. IBE<ESP> AN164. RNAcentral's name for it is "tRNA-Ser". The record is from RNAcentral. Lineage: Eukaryota; Metazoa; Arthropoda; Insecta; Coleoptera; Hydraenidae.